Molecule: ribosomal RNA, 363 nt
Filed under: Sargocentron rubrum (redcoat)
Lineage: Eukaryota; Metazoa; Chordata; Actinopteri; Holocentriformes; Holocentridae
Description: partial 12S ribosomal RNA
Rfam family: Bacterial small subunit ribosomal RNA
Source: RNAcentral
UUUCAUAGUUUAACCCGCCUAUAUACCGCCGUCGCAAGCUUACCCUGUGAAGGUCUUAUAGUAAGCAAAAGUGAUUAAAAUCCAAGACGUCAGGUCGAGGUGUAGCGCAUGGAAAGGAAAGAAAUGGGCUACAUUCCCUAACUCAGGGAAUACGAAUAAUACACUGAAACGCGUAUUUGAAGGAGGAUUUAAUAGUAAGUAGAAAAUAGAGUGUCCUACUGAAACCGGCCCUGAAGCGCGCACACACCGCCCGUCACUCUCCCCAAACUCAAACUACUAAACUAAACCUUAAAACAUCACCCAUGAAAAGGGGAGGCAAGUCGUAACAUGGUAAGUGUACCGGAAGGUGCACUUGGAAUUACA